This 819-nucleotide ribosomal RNA is filed under the name Acremonium polychromum. Its description in RNAcentral is "Gliomastix polychroma partial large subunit ribosomal RNA". It matches the Rfam family "Eukaryotic large subunit ribosomal RNA", at positions 78 to 929 of the family's 3401-position model. Lineage: Eukaryota; Fungi; Ascomycota; Sordariomycetes; Hypocreales; Bionectriaceae. The record is from RNAcentral.
CCUCAGUAACGGCGAGUGAAGCGGCAACAGCUCAAAUUUGAAAUCUGGCCCCAGGCCCGAGUUGUAAUUUGCAGAGGAUGUUUCUGGCGAGGUGCCUUCCGAGUUCCCUGGAACGGGACGCCAUAGAGGGUGAGAGCCCCGUACGGUUGGUCGCUAAGCCUCUGUGAAACUCCUUCGACGAGUCGAGUAGUUUGGGAAUGCUGCUCUAAAUGGGAGGUGUACGCCUUCUCAAGCUAAAUACCGGCUAGAGACCGAUAGCGCACAAGUAGAGUGAUCGAAAGAUGAAAAGCACUUUGAAAAGAGGGUUAAAUAGUACGUGAAAUUGUUGAAAGGGAAGCGCUCUUGACCAGACUUGCGCCGGUUGAUCAUCCACCGUUCUCGGUGGUGCACUCUGCCGGCUCAGGCCAGCAUCAGUUCGGUCCGGGGGAUAAAGGCUUCGGGAACGUGGCUCUCUCCGGGGAGUGUUAUAGCCCGUUGCGUAAUACCCUGGGCUGGACUGAGGUUCGCGCAUCUGCAUGGAUGCUGGCGUAAUGGUCAUCAGUGACCCGUCUUGAAACACGGACCAAGGAGUCGUCUUCGUAUGCGAGUGUUCGGGUGUCAAACCCCUACGCGUAAUGAAAGUGAACGUAGGAGAGAGCUUCGGCGCAUCUCCGACCGAUCCUGAUGUUCUCGGAUGGAUUUGAGUAAGAGCAUACGGGGCCGGACCCGAAAGAAGGUGAACUAUGCCUGUAUAGGGUGAAGCCAGAGGAAACUCUGGUGGAGGCUCGCAGCGGUUCUGACGUGCAAAUCGAUCGUCAAAUAUGGGCAUGGGGGCGAAAG